Molecule: ribosomal RNA, 402 nt
Filed under: uncultured bacterium
Lineage: Bacteria
Description: bacterial SSU rRNA
Rfam family: Bacterial small subunit ribosomal RNA
Source: RNAcentral
AUUGAACGCUGGCGGCAUGCCUUACACAUGCAAGUCGAACGGCAGCACGGGAGCAAUCCUGGUGGCGAGUGGCGAACGGGUGAGUAAUAUAUCGGAACGUGCCCAGUCGUGGGGGAUAACGUAGCGAAAGCUACGCUAAUACCGCAUACGAUCUAUGGAUGAAAGCGGGGGAUCGCAAGACCUCGCGCGAUUGGAGCGGCCGAUAUCAGAUUAGGUAGUUGGUGAGGUAAAGGCUCACCAAGCCGACGAUCUGUAGCUGGUCUGAGAGGACGACCAGCCACACUGGGACUGAGACACGGCCCAGACUCUACGGGAGGCAGCAGUGGGGAAUUUUGGGACAAUGGGCGCAAGCCUGAUCCAGCAAUGCCGCGUGCAGGAUGAAGGCCUUCGGGUUGUUAAAGG